UCUCUGGUGGUCCAGUAGCUAAGACUCUACAUUCCCAGUGCAGGAGGCCCGGGUUCAAUUCCGGGUCAGAGAA
This 73-nucleotide transfer RNA is filed under the name Bos taurus (domestic cattle). It matches the Rfam family "tRNA". Rfam says of the family: Transfer RNA (tRNA) molecules are approximately 80 nucleotides in length. Their secondary structure includes four short double-helical elements and three loops (D, anti-codon, and T loops). Lineage: Eukaryota; Metazoa; Chordata; Mammalia; Artiodactyla; Bovidae. RNAcentral also lists the same sequence under 5 other names. The record is from Rfam by way of RNAcentral.